This 253-nucleotide ribosomal RNA is filed under the name uncultured bacterium. Its description in RNAcentral is "partial 16S ribosomal RNA". It matches the Rfam family "Bacterial small subunit ribosomal RNA", at positions 524 to 776 of the family's 1533-position model. The record is from RNAcentral.
UACGGAGGGUGCAAGCGUUAUCCGGAUUCACUGGGUUUAAAGGGUGCGUAGGUGGGCAGGUAAGUCCGUGGUGAAAUCCCUGAGCUUAACUCGGGAACUGCCAUGGAUACUAUUUGUCUUGAAUAUUGUGGAGGUAAGCGGAAUAUGUCAUGUAGCGGUGAAAUGCUUAGAUAUGACAUAGAACACCAAUUGCGAAGGCAGCUUACUACACAGUUAUUGACACUGAGGCACGAAAGCGUGGGGAGCAAACAGG